This 1235-nucleotide long non-coding RNA is filed under the name Equus caballus (horse). RNAcentral's name for it is "lncRNA (ENSECAG00000052373.1)". The record is from RNAcentral. Lineage: Eukaryota; Metazoa; Chordata; Mammalia; Perissodactyla; Equidae.
CUGGAGCAGGCCGACUCCUCUCGGCCGGCGCGCGCCUGCCCCGAGGGCCGCAGUGAAAGCCCGGCUGGGCACCUGCCGGGCCCCUGCGCAGGGGCGGGCGCGUCUCCGCGCGCGGAGGCCGUCGGGGACCCCGCGCGACGCGGCCCUGCACCGCGGGACCCCGGCCGCGCGCCUGCCCGCGCUCUCAGCCGCAGGGGGCCCUGCACCCCGGACCCCGGCCGCGCGCCUGCCCGCGCUCUCAGCCGCAGGGGGCCCUGCACCCCGGACCCCGGCCGCGCGCCUGCCCGCGCUCUCAGCCGCAGGGGGCCCUGCACCCCGGACCCCGGCCGCCCGCCUGCCAGCGCUCUAGCCACAAGGGGCCCCGCGGCGCGCGCCCUCACAGCCACCCGGUGGAGGCCGCGCGCUGCCCUCGGGCUGGGGACGCCGCGAUCGCGCCCGGGCGCGCGGAGAAGCCGAGGGCACGCGCUCCCGGCGCUCCGCGGCGGGUGAGUCGUGCUUGGGGCUCACAGCCGCCUGCAGGGCGUGCCGGGACUCGGACCCCUCUCCGGGUGGCCGAAGGGCCUCCCCGCUUCUCCCUCUGCUGGGAGCCGUGGAGGAGCCGCGCCCCCGAAUGUGCGCUGUGUAACCUGCGCAGUCCCCCAAGCUGCUCCGCGUGCAGCACCAUCCACGGCUGGACCCGAGGCUCUCCCGCUCCCGGCCUCGGACCUUCCUCACGUCCCGGAGACCCGUCCUGCCGUCCCCUCGGCGGUCUGUCCUGUCCCGCGUAUCCCGCUCUUUUCCCGACCUCAGAGGGUGAAACAGUGUCCAGGGCUAAUUCCAUGGACUCCUUGCUCCGCCCGUACUUUGAGUUUCUGGAGGCAGUCACUUUGAUCCAUGUUCCAUGGGAGCUUGGGAAGAGGUGCAGUCUGUUUGGGAACACGACUUGCCAUGCAGUCACUUCUCAUGAGGACACUCACUCUAAAAGACCCCCAGCGCCCCCCAUUCGUUCCAGGGAGCAGCCUGCCACAGAACACCUGCCACCCCUAACACCGAAUAAUCCGUCCUCUUGGAAUGUCCCUAAACUGCUCAUGUGCCCCCUCAGCCAACCAAGCAGUGUCAGAAGUACCUGAAGACCAAUUGGAAUGUCUUCUCCGCCUCCAAAAGUCUCACCUUAAUAGAAUGCUUGCCAGUCAGAGACGCUCAGGGUUUCCUCUUUUUACUCUGCAAAACUUAGUUCCUUUCUAAGGAAGGCCCUU